Molecule: microRNA, 21 nt
Filed under: Ananas comosus (pineapple)
Lineage: Eukaryota; Viridiplantae; Streptophyta; Magnoliopsida; Poales; Bromeliaceae
Description: microRNA s0533_c68a
Source: RNAcentral
AGAAGGGGAAGGAUUUGCUGA